Molecule: long non-coding RNA, 1702 nt
Organism: Nasonia vitripennis (jewel wasp)
Lineage: Eukaryota; Metazoa; Arthropoda; Insecta; Hymenoptera; Pteromalidae
Exons: 2
Source: RefSeq, a predicted model, not a curated record
ACAUUUAGGUAAUUUCUUUUUUAUUUAUUAUCUCGGAACUUUGCACUCAUCGAAAUCGAUUUAAAAAUCGAUUCCAAUGCAAAAUUGAACGCUCUUUCGACUGGUGCAGGUCAUUUUACUGUACGUUAAGCCGUUUUCGAGAUAUAAGCAAAAUUAAUUUUUGCACACUGUUUUCGCAUAGAACCCGUUGACCUAGGAAGCUGCAAAUUUCAGAAUCGUCUUUUUCGACCUCGAUUUACCUAAUAACCAAAAUGCAGCCAUUUCUAUCGCAUUUCGAUUUCAAGGCUAAUUUUACUGGACUACGUGAGUCAUGUUACUUGUCAGCAUUAGCGCUUACUGUGAUCUGUGAUUGACCGAUACCUAGCAUUGUUACUGUCACGUGGAAGUGAUUUGACUCGUUUGACUAUAUCUGCAGCGUUGUACACAAGUUUUCCUGAUACAUGCGCAUCACGGAGCCGUUGAACUAUAUCGAUCCAAUUUGAUAGAGAAAACCAUAAGUAUGAGGAAAAGUACGUUGACAAUUUUAAGUUUGAAAUAAACAUUGAGAUACGUUAAUAAAUCUAAUGCACGUGAUCGCUAGUCAAGCAUGUCAAGAUUUUGCUGUCUGGAGUACCUGCGGUUGAACACAAUAUAAAUUGUAUCAUCUGCAAUCAGUAUUAAUGUAGGUAUAUUAUCACGCGCGCAUAAAAUUGCGUUCAUCAAUUACAUUUCCCGCGAUCUUUACAUAACUAAUAUCUCGAAAAUAAAAACGAUGAAAAACUCGAGAUGAUUAAUUUACUGAAAAAUUCGAGAAUGGUUGACAUAGAAGAGCAACUUGACAUUAUUGCGAGAUGUUGCCUCACAUAGAGAAACGACAAUUCUACAUUUCUAAGUAUAGUUUAGAGCAUAAAUACUUUCAAAUAAAUUUUCUGCAAAACUGACGAGAAAUAAGGAUGAAAACAGUUCCUUCUUUUAAAUUGACUUUAUUAGUAAGAUAAUAUUGUUAAUAUAUGCACACGUCUAGUGAAACUUCUUAUCAAAGGCACAGAAAAUUGAUCUUCAUUAUUAUAUGAUUAUUAUAGAUUGCAACUUGCUUUUUUCAAGGAAAACAAUUUCGAUUACAGACUAUGGCUAAAAUAGCUUUUAAUAUUACUUGAUGAAUUACAAACUGAUUUGCAGGUUUAUGUAUGCAAAUGCUUUACAAAUAUUUGCCAUAUAAAAUAGCAAACUAGUGUUUUUACUUAUAUGCUACUAAUUAAUGAAUGGGAUGUGCAAAAAUUGUUAAACCUUUAGUAGGGAUUUAGCAGAAGAAGACAUUAUUAUUAACAAUUUCAAACACUAAUAUUUACAUGUAAUACAACUACGUAAAAUAUAAUUCUAGUUCGGCUUUUCUUGCGUUCAAUGCAAAGUUCUGUACAUUGAUUGCAUCUAGCUCUACAAUCUAUUUAUAAAAAAAAUUAAUCAUUGUUAAUGUCUAGGUGAGGAUCAAUAAUUUACAAAGCUUAAAAAAUGUUUAUAAACAAAAAGUCAAAGGCGACUUUAUUUUUCUAUAUUUACACGGUUAAUUAUUUUAUUUUGCAUAAAAAUUAUGCUGCUCCGUUUUUUUGCCGUUAUUAAACAGUUACAAUUUUGUUAUGAAAUCUAACUAAUGUAUGAGAAAUCAAAUGACCGAUAAAGAAUCAAUAAUAGCAACAAACAAAAUACAAGGCUUGUAUUGACGUAU